GGGGUUGUCUAGACUCGACAGGGUGCACUUUGAAAAUAUGCAAGCCGAUUAUGAAGGUGAUAUCGUAAAUCUUCCCUUCGCGAUGAUACCUGCAAACUUCAUCACAAAGGCAAAGCAAGCCUUCGCGCAAGCGUUCCAGCCUGCUUUCGCUUCCGCUCUCGCCUAAUUUCGGCAGGAGCCAUCGGACUCCCGACUCCCGAUAGGGAAUGUUCCGGUGUCAUAUCAUCGGGAAAGCUCGGUUUUCUUGCCCUAUGGAAAGCCGAUCGCUUCUGCACAUAAGGCACGUUGAGCCGUUUUCGCGCACUUCCUGACGGUUCGACGCAUACCAAGUGCGCUAUGCUUGUAGACUAUUUUUGAAACUCAUCACUGGACAUGGGUGCAAUUCCCAUCAACUCCACAU
This 400-nucleotide transfer-messenger RNA is filed under the name Candidatus Moraniibacteriota bacterium. RNAcentral describes it as "Candidatus Moranbacteria bacterium transfer-messenger RNA". It matches the Rfam family "transfer-messenger RNA". Rfam says of the family: Bacterial tmRNA, also known as 10Sa RNA or SsrA, is named for its dual tRNA and mRNA-like properties. The record is from RNAcentral. RNAcentral also lists the same sequence under 1 other name. Lineage: Bacteria; Candidatus Moraniibacteriota.